UUCUUUUUCUUUUUUCUAUUUUCUUUUAGACAAUUUUUAUUAACAAUUUUUAAAUUUAUUUUCGGUUUUUUUAUGGUGAAAAUGUCUGCUAACACGUCUUGCUGAAGCCAACUAUACACGUGUUCCACACCAAUCUAUUACCCAAUAAGAAUUGGAUCGAUCACCAUCGGCUCUUAACUCGAUAUCCCACCGCCCGCCCAUCGAUCGAUUUCACCCCCGAUUGAUUGUUUUCUUCUCCAUUUGUUAUCUUUUUCUGCUUCCUCCACCGCCUGAUCUACUGCUAUCACCCACCACCUGCAUCGCCGCUGGCCACCCCUCAUCGCCAGCUAUUUCGCCCCGGUGGCCUCCAACACGGAGACUUGAGUGGGCAUGAAUGGUUGAUCGACAAUGGAAGGUUCUUUCCACCUCUCACCUCACAGUCCUCAUCACGGGAACCCUCUGUUUCUCCCUCUUCCAGUCCAUCUCUUGAUCCUUUUCAAAGAGGCGCUUCACCGGCCAUCACCCUAUUUUUUCAUCUGUUAUCUCCUCACAAAACCCACCCUACCACCGCCACUGUUAGCCAAUGCCAAUCGAAUAUUCACAGAUACAGAUAUACUUCAUCGGCCUUCCAACCGUCCAACAUAUGAAUUAUACGCAUCUUCUCUUUAGCCGCUGUGAAACGACUCUCCUUCCGGCGGAUCUGUCUUCCCGUCAGGAUUAUGUGCGUUUCGUUGUUCAAGAUUGUGUAUCCUUCAACCCAGAAAAAAUAUUAGCCAGAAAUUACAUAAAGAUUUCCCUGUUGAAACAGAAGAUCAGCCUGAAGACUACAAAUUCAUGUUUGAUUUUCAGCUUAAAUGCUGUUAGACAGUGGACAUGAUGGAGGAAUAGUCACCCGAGAAAGCAACAACUUUUGUUUUCCUAUCAGUUGAAGGACCACUAAUUCUAAAGUAAAUAUCUACAAAAGCUUCUUAUAUGUCCAAAUUAGAAUCGGUUCGUUUCAAGUCAACUCAGUCAACAGCUGUUCGGUUCUAACCCGGUUCAUGCCUUUUUCCUAAAGAGAAAAACAACAUCCUUGCACUGAUUUUUGGAUUAUUUGACUUGAGUUUGAGCUAUAGUAUUCAAAUAUUUGAGAAUUCAUCAUGCCCACCAAGUCUGUCCCUUUAUGAAACAGUUGCAGCCACAUCAAAGAAGUGAUUGAUUUCAGGGGUUCCUAUCAUGGCAGUUACUAAAAAUACGAGUAUGGAAAUCAAUACAAAGUUGUGUAAAUGCUUGGUGGAGACCAUCAUUAUGCUGCUCUGCAUUUGUCAUCCAUUUAGAUAAGAUUUGUAUAUUAAUCAAAUACAACCCAAAAUUAUUCCCGAUUUACCAUUGGGUUUGGAACAACUAUACUUAUAGUUAGAUCAUGCUUUGUGUCUUAAACUUCACCGGUAUAAUUUGUAUAGGUAAAAAAACGAGUGACUACAAGAUAAGACAAAAUGUUCUCCUUUUGUGUAUUCCUAUGACAUAUCCAAUCCCGCAAAGCGGGAAUCUUCCCUAGUUUAGAUCUAAAAGGUA
Molecule: non-coding RNA, 1533 nt
Organism: Lactuca sativa (garden lettuce)
Lineage: Eukaryota; Viridiplantae; Streptophyta; Magnoliopsida; Asterales; Asteraceae
Source: RefSeq, a predicted model, not a curated record